UGUAUAGGAUCCUGGAGAGCCCCUGUCCUAAGAGACCUUGACCUUUGGGCUCUCAAAGGUGACAAAUGCUGUCACACACCUCCUGGCCACCAAGGUAGCUCUCCUCUUGAAAGCUCAAAGGAGCCACAUUAAAGAGCCCCAGGUCACGGAAGCUAAACCAGAUCUGGAACUCACUGGUCCCCUCCCCGCAGCCUGCCUCUUGUCAAGUGAUCAGACUGUCAACUAGCUUCUCAGAAUUAGGUUUCAGGUCAGCUGGUGCACACGGCCAGUGCCGAGCCAGAGACAGCAGAGACAACAGUGAAUGGUGAGGACGGGCCGUCAGAUCCUGCUGCUACCUAAUGGAGUGGAGCCUUAGGGUGCCCCUGCACUACCCAACCUUGGCUAGACGCACAGCUGGGGGCAUCAGACCGAUAAUAACCGAGGUGCGCCAAGGAGGAGGUUGGGAAGCUCAGACCUCAGGGAGUUCCCUACUGCACCAGGCAUUGUAGCCUCACCCACAUACUCAACUUCCUCCCUGAACUGAAGCAAAAGAUUGCCAGGCAAGCUCUCUCCUCGGACCUCCAUAGGCAGCAAAGGAAC
This 579-nucleotide long non-coding RNA is filed under the name Mus spicilegus (steppe mouse). RNAcentral describes it as "lncRNA (ENSMSIG00000027959.1)". The record is from RNAcentral. Lineage: Eukaryota; Metazoa; Chordata; Mammalia; Rodentia; Muridae.